AGUGAACGCUGGCGGUAGGCCUAACACAUGCAAGUCGAACGGCAGCACAGUAAGAGCUUGCUCUUACGGGUGGCGAGUGGCGGACGGGUGAGGAAUACAUCGGAAUCUACUUUUUCGUGGGGGAUAACGUAGGGAAACUUACGCUAAUACCGCAUACGACCUACGGGUGAAAGCAGGGGUUUUUCGGACCUUGCGCGAUUGAUUGAGCCGAUGUCGGAUUAGCUAGUUGUCGGGGUAAAGGCCCACCACGGCGACGUUCCGUAGCUGGUCUGAGAGGAUGAUCAGCCACACUGGAACUGAGACACGGUCCAGACUCCUACGGGAGGCAGCAGUGGGGAAUAUUGGACCAUGGGCGCAAGCCUGAUCCAGCCAUACCGCGUGGGUGAAGAAGGCCUUCGGGUUGUAAAGCCCUUUUGUUGGGAAAGAAAAGCAGCAGGUUAAUACCCCGCUGUUCUGACGGUACCCAAAGAAUAAGCACCGGCUAACUUCGUG
Molecule: ribosomal RNA, 492 nt
Filed under: uncultured bacterium
Lineage: Bacteria
Description: partial 16S ribosomal RNA
Rfam family: Bacterial small subunit ribosomal RNA
Source: RNAcentral